This is a long non-coding RNA of Salvia miltiorrhiza (redroot sage), 736 nucleotides long. RefSeq lists it as uncharacterized. The transcript has 2 exons. NCBI's taxonomy places the organism in Eukaryota, Viridiplantae, Streptophyta, Magnoliopsida, Lamiales, Lamiaceae. The record is from RefSeq and is a predicted model, not a curated record.
GAAGGGAAUACAUUACUUUUCUUUUUUUUUCCCUGGAAGUCGACGUUUCCUUCCUCUCUAACCCUUACUUCUCUUCAUAUUUCACAGAGUAAAGAGGAUAUCUUGGUUCAUCUUAUAAUCAACUACUAAAAUAUUCAAGAAAGCGAGAAAGUCGGGGAAGCCCGACGGCGAAGACGCCUAUUUAUUAUCCCAAAAAGCGCAGGUCAUCGGAAUCACCGACGGCGUUGGCGGUUGGGCGAAGAAAGGUGUCGACGCUAGCAGUACGCACGCGAGCUGAUGCGUAACGCCGUCAACACCAUCAAGGACUCCCUCCCCGCUGCCGUCAACCCGAAGUCGGUCCUCGCUAGCCUGCAUCAUCUCGCUUGUCGAGAUCCGCCUCCGCACCGUCAACAUUGGCGACAACAGCUUCACGGUGAUUGUUGGUUUUGUAGGAAGAAAAUGAAUAUAUGAUUACUAUUUGGGUCAGAAUUCAAGUCGCACAAAUUAGGGACCUGAAGGAUAUGACAAGAUAUGACAUGAACUUGUUUUUGGAUUUUAUUAUUCCUAAAGUACCUAUACACUCCUGAGAAUGAAGUUGGUUAUGGACGCCAUGUUUGGCCCACUCAUGCCUCCAAAAGUUAUGUAACUUAUGUAUAUCUCUCAUUUCGCUUCCGGCCUAAAUAGAGUCAUUUUUUGUAUGGCUUCAGGGCUAAGAUAUUUUUACUGAUUAUUUAAAUAAAUUAUUACAUGAAAUUCA